RNAcentral lists this ribosomal RNA (305 nucleotides) under uncultured bacterium. Its description in RNAcentral is "bacterial SSU rRNA". It matches the Rfam family "Bacterial small subunit ribosomal RNA", at positions 337 to 640 of the family's 1533-position model. The record is from RNAcentral.
UCCUACGGGGGGCAGCAGUGAGGAAUAUUGGUCAAUGGUCGGGAGACUGAACCAGCCAAGCCGCGUGAGGGAUGAAGGUACAGAGUAUCGUAAACCUCUUUUGUCAGGGAACAAAGGCGGGGACGUGUCCCCGGAUGAGUGUACCUGAAGAAAAAGCAUCGGCUAACUCCGUGCCAGCAGCCGCGGUAAUACGGAGGAUGCGAGCGUUAUCCGGAUUUAUUGGGUUUAAAGGGUGCGCAGGCGGUCUGUUAAGUCAGCGGGCAAAGCCCGGGGCUCAACCCCGGCCCGCCGUUGAAACUGGCAGG